UCGGGGUAUAGCGCAGUCCGGUAGAGCGCCUGCUUUGGGAGCAGGAUUUCGGGAGUUCGAAUCUCUCUACCACGAA
Molecule: transfer RNA, 76 nt
Filed under: Pseudomonas aeruginosa
Lineage: Bacteria; Pseudomonadati; Pseudomonadota; Gammaproteobacteria; Pseudomonadales; Pseudomonadaceae
Description: tRNA-Pro
Rfam family: tRNA
About the family: Transfer RNA (tRNA) molecules are approximately 80 nucleotides in length.
Source: RNAcentral